UACGUAGGGGCCGAGCGUUGUCCGGAGUUACUGGGCGUAAAGCGCGCGCAGGCGGCGGCGUGGGUCCGGCGUGAAAGCCCCCGGCUCAACCGGGGAGGGUCGUCGGGGACCGCGCCGCUUGAGGACGGCAGGGGCCGGUGGAAUGCCCGGUGUAGUGGUGAAAUGCGUAGAGAUCGGGCGGAACACCCGUGGCGAAGGCGGCCGGCUGGGCCGGUCCUGACGCUGAGGCGCGAAGGCGUGGGGAGCGAAC
Molecule: ribosomal RNA, 250 nt
Filed under: uncultured bacterium
Lineage: Bacteria
Description: partial 16S ribosomal RNA
Rfam family: Bacterial small subunit ribosomal RNA
Source: RNAcentral